GACGAACGCUGGCGGCGUGCUUAACACAUGCAAGUCGAACGAUGAAGAAGAGAAACGCGAACUUCGGUUCAAAUUUCACUUCGGAUUAGUGGCAGACGGGUGAGUAACGCGCGAGCAACCUACCUCUUACAAAGGGAUAGCCUCGGGAAACCGUGAUUAAUACCAUAUGACACAUUCAUAAGGCAUCUUAAGAAUGUUAAAGCUACGGCGGUAAGAGAUGGGCUCGCGUCCCAUUAGCUAGUUGGUGAGGUAACGGCCCACCAAGGCGACGAUGGGUAACCGGCCUGAGAGGGUGAACGGUCACAUUGGAACUGAGACACGGUCCAAACUCCUACGGGAGGCAGCAGUGGGGAAUAUUGCACAAUGGAGGGAACUCUGAUGCAGCGACGCCGCGUGAGCGAUGAAGGAAUUCGUGUCGUAAAGCUCUGUUCUAUGGGAAGAAAAGGACUGUACCAUAGGAGAAAGCCCCGGCUAAAUACGUG
RNAcentral lists this ribosomal RNA (482 nucleotides) under uncultured bacterium. RNAcentral describes it as "partial 16S ribosomal RNA". It matches the Rfam family "Bacterial small subunit ribosomal RNA", at positions 28 to 507 of the family's 1533-position model. The record is from RNAcentral.